GUCCACGCCGUAAACGUUGGGCACUAGGUGUGGGACUCUAUCGACGGGUUCCGUGCCGUAGCUAACGCAUUAAGUGCCCCGCCUGGGGAGUACGGCCGCAAGGCUAAAACUCAAAGGAAUUGACGGGGCCCGCACAAGCGGCGGAGCGUGUGGCUUAAUUCGAUGCAACGCGAAGAACCUUACCUGGGCUUGACAUGUACGGAAAAGCCGGUGAAAGCCGGUGUGCUUCGGCGUCGUACACAGGUGGUGCAUGGCUGUCGU
RNAcentral lists this ribosomal RNA (261 nucleotides) under uncultured bacterium. RNAcentral's name for it is "partial 16S ribosomal RNA". It matches the Rfam family "Bacterial small subunit ribosomal RNA", at positions 793 to 1055 of the family's 1533-position model. The record is from RNAcentral.